Molecule: ribosomal RNA, 295 nt
Filed under: uncultured Pseudomonas sp.
Lineage: Bacteria; Pseudomonadati; Pseudomonadota; Gammaproteobacteria; Pseudomonadales; Pseudomonadaceae
Description: partial 16S ribosomal RNA
Rfam family: Bacterial small subunit ribosomal RNA
Source: RNAcentral
CCGUAACGAGCGCAACCCUGUCCUUAGUUACCAGCACGUUAUGGUGGGCACUCUAAGGAGACUGCCGGUGACAAACCGGAGGAAGGUGGGGAUGACGUCAAGUCAUCAUGGCCCUUACGGCCUGGGCUACACACGUGCUACAAUGGUCGGUACAAAGGGUUGCCAAGCCGCGAGGUGGAGCUAAUCCCAUAAAACCGAUCGUAGUCCGGAUCGCAGUCUGCAACUCGACUGCGUGAAGUCGGAAUCGCUAGUAAUCGUGAAUCAGAAUGUCACGGUGAAUACGUUCCCGGGCCUU